CGGCCAAGCCAGACCUGUAAAUUCUAGAGGCCUGGCAGGACUCUGUGGGAGGAGCUCCAGGGCAAAGGGCCCGCAGCACUGAGUGGUGAACGCCGGAGUGGGGCUUAAAUCCAUUAACAGAAACCUUGGCUAUUUAGGUCACAGAUCACGGUGCAGUCGAUGGUUCCUUAGAAAAUCAUCUGGCCCAAUCUCCUUCCUAUAGAUAUGUGAACUGAGGCCUGUGUUGAAGAAACAGGUCUAAUUCCAGUGAUGGGGUGGAGAAGUGUUGCCAUAGGGAAUGUUUCUUGGCAACACCAUCUGAUGAGAAGGCCUAUUCAGUUAAUGAUCCCGUGAUGGGCGCCUUCCUAAGCAAUCCUUUUUCUUGUUCCUGAAAUUUUGGAAUGGACACAAGUGUGUGUGAUGGUGGUCAGUUAGCUUUCUUGGAAUCUAUUCCCUAGGCCGUCUAGUUUGAUUGUAUUGAGCUGAGCUGCACAACUGAGAUGCAUCCAAGAACAGUGGCUUCUCCUCCAGGACCCCGGGAGCCCUGCUGGCCCUGACAUCUACUUCCUACUCUCACUCUCCUGCAUCACUCUUAUAAGGGCCUUUGUGAUUAUACUGGGCCCACUUGGAGAUUCCAGGAUAAUCUCCCCAUCUCAAAAUCCUCAGCUUGGGGCUGGCCCCGUGGCCGAGUGGUUGAGUUCGCGCGCUCCGCUGCCGAAGGCCCAGUGUUUUGUUGGUUCGAAUCCUGGGUGCGGACAUGGCACUGCUCAUCGAGCCAUGCUGAGGCGGCAUCCCACAUGCCACAACUAGAAGGACUCACAACGAAGAAUAUACAACUAUG
RNAcentral lists this long non-coding RNA (820 nucleotides) under Equus caballus (horse). Its description in RNAcentral is "lncRNA (ENSECAG00000056171.1)". The record is from RNAcentral. Lineage: Eukaryota; Metazoa; Chordata; Mammalia; Perissodactyla; Equidae.